RNAcentral lists this ribosomal RNA (422 nucleotides) under uncultured bacterium. Its description in RNAcentral is "bacterial SSU rRNA". It matches the Rfam family "Bacterial small subunit ribosomal RNA", at positions 355 to 776 of the family's 1533-position model. The record is from RNAcentral.
UGGGGGAUAUUGCACAAUGGGGGGAACCCUGAUGCAGCGACGCCGCGUGGGUGAAGGAGUACUUCGGUACGUAAAGCCCUAUCAGCAGGGAAGAAAAAAGCGAAGCGAUUCGCUUGGACGGUACCUGACUAAGAAGCCCCGGCUAACUACGUGCCAGCAGCCGCGGUAAUACGUAGGGGGCAAGCGUUAUCCGGAUUCACUGGGUGUAAAGGGAGCGUAGACGGCAGGGCAAGUCUGGAGUGAAAGCCCGGGGCCCAACCCCGGGACUGCUCUGGAAACUGUACUGCUAGAGUGCGGGAGGGGCAGGCGGAAUUCCUAGUGUAGCGGUGAAAUGCGUAGAUAUUAGGAGGAACACCGGCGGCGAAGGCGGCCUGCUGGACCGUAACUGACGUUGAGGCUCGAAAGCGUGGGGAGCAAACAGG